Molecule: non-coding RNA, 682 nt
Organism: Zonotrichia albicollis (white-throated sparrow)
Lineage: Eukaryota; Metazoa; Chordata; Aves; Passeriformes; Passerellidae
Source: RefSeq, a predicted model, not a curated record
GUGGAUGUUCAUCAGGUAGUACACGGUGCGGCUCUGCACGUGGCCCUGCACGCGGUUGGCCAGGUAGCGCAGCCCCACGUCGAAGAUCUUGAUGUAGGACAGGGCACUGGGGGAAUUCAUAAAAUCAGGGAAUUGUAUAAAAAAAAUUCAUAAAUUCAGUGAGGGAGAAUUCAUGAAAUCAGUGGGAGAAUUCAUAAAUUCAGGGAGUUAUUUAAAAAAAAUCAUAAAAUCAGUGAGGGGGAAUUCAUAAAAUCAGGGGGAAUUCAUAAAUCAAUGAGGGACAAUUUAUAAAAUCAGUGAGAGGGAAUUCAUAAAAUCAUCACUGAGGGAGAAUUCAUAAAUUCAGUGAAGGGGAAUUCAUAAAAUCAGUGAGAAUUGAUAAAAUCAGUGAGGGAGAAUUAAUAAAAUCAGUGCAGGUGAAUUAAUAAAAUCAGUGAGGGGAAAAUUAUAAAUUCAGUGAGGGAGAAUUUAUAAAAUCAGCAAGGGCAAAUUCAUAAAAUCAGUGAGAAUUGAUAAAAUCAGUGAGGGAGAAUUCAUAAAUUCAGGAAGCAAGAAUUCAUAAAUUCAAUGAGAGGGAAUUCGUAAAAUAAUCAGUGAGGGGGAAUUCAUAAAAUCAGGGAAUUAUAUAAAAAAAAGUUCAUAAAUUCAGUGAGGGAGAAUUCAUGAAAUCAGUGAGGGAAUU